RNAcentral lists this long non-coding RNA (1648 nucleotides) under Lupinus angustifolius (narrow-leaved blue lupine). RNAcentral describes it as "long non-coding RNA (LANG_LNC002963)". Lineage: Eukaryota; Viridiplantae; Streptophyta; Magnoliopsida; Fabales; Fabaceae. The record is from RNAcentral.
UUAAAUCCAUUUCUUCUUCUCUCUCCGCAAGAUUGAAAGUAAUGCGGAGGAUGUUGAGUGGGACUUUGAGAGUGGCUUUUGGUCUUCACGGAAUUUGAGUAAAGCUUUCAUUGUUGGAAAUUGAAGGUAAUGAUUUUGGUUUUUUUGUUUUAUAACAGUUUUGGAAUUGAAUUUUGAAAAAUUGAAAAUUUAGGGAUAUUGGCUGCGAAAACUCAUUUGCAUUGGGCACAGUAGAAGACAGUGUGCAUUUGAUGUUGAAAUCAAAUUAUGCGGAUCCAUUGGGUUAUGAUGUUUGAUGCAAUUAUACAAUAUGUGUGUUUCCUUUGAAACUGAAUUUAGAUGCAUUGUUUCCUUCAUAAUUGCUUAAGACUAUGUUUGGGAGUUACGAGAGAGAAAAGGAAGAAGAGAGAUCGAAUGACUAGGAGAGAAAAGACAAUUCUCUCUCUUGUUUGGAAUAUAAAACUUAGACGGAAACUAAUGAUAAUGUUAGAAUAUGUCUUAUUUUUCUUUUAAAAAUGUAGAUGAGAGAGUCUUUUUUGUUUCAGAAUGCCUACUUCUCUACUGUUCUUCUAUGUGUUAUAUGUUCUCUUUCUGAUUUUUCACCCUUUCUGUCUGCCUAUGUUGUUUUUUCUUGUUUCAUGUGUGUUUUCUGUUUUUAUGUUGUGUUUCAGAGUGCUACCUCUUAUAUCAUUUCUCUGAUUUUAUAAUUAUAUACAUAUCUAUAUAGGUAUAACAUAAGUUUGUAAGUAAUUUGGUAUUUAAGAGAAAGAUGUCGUCUGAGUGUGCAUUGUGUUCAUAACUAUUUAUCCUUUAUAUUCCAAAUCAUAGUUUAAUAAUUAACACAAAGUAGUUGGUGUACAAAGUAAUUAAAAUAAAAUAUAUUUGCAUGCUUGAAAAGUGUAUUAAAAAAUUAAAGAAUGAAAUUUAAAAACUAAAUACAAGAAGUGUCAGUAUGAUAGUUUGAUAUUUUUCAAACUUUCACGAUAGCCAUACAUAAUUCUUCUUGAACACGAAAUGACCAUACUUGAACCCUAUCUCCUACUUUGAGUUGAUUAGCUUUUAUAACUUUCUUCCAAGAUGAUGACCUCAAAACAUAGCUAGAGCUAACCUUGCCAUCAUUCUUGUGCAUAUUCCAUUUGGCCAAUGUGAGAUUAGUAACUUCGAGUGAGGGCUGAAUCAGUUUCACCUCUACGCAUUUUCCUCUCUCUAAAUCAUCUAGUUCCCCUUCUCGCAAGAAAUUUUCAUUCUUGAUCUGCUUCGAAGGUAUUGAAAGCCGAUUUUGUUGUUCAUUCAAAUCUGAAUCAAACAAAGAUUUAGUAAUCAGCAAAGUGGUUUCGUUGCCGCCCAUUUCAUUUAUCUUAUCUAUGAACUCUUGCGGCAAUUCUGAUGGUGCUGCUUCAACUACUAUGUUAUAUCUUUGUCUUUUUUUGCUGCUCCUAGCUGCUGAUUUAUUUGGAGGUGGCUUUACGGGGACCCAGUCUUGAUCAAUAACAUCAGCAUUCUCUGUGCCAUUGAUAAUUGCUACAUUUUUGCCCUUCAUAGCUCUCCUUUUCAUCUUUUUUAUAGGAAGAUCUUCUUCUUCAUCAUCGUCAUUGUAGUUCAAUUCAGCUUUAGAGCUGGUUCCUUCUUCAAAGGAAGAAGCCAUGAA